GAUGAACGCUGGCGGCGUGCCUAAUACAUGCAAGUCGAGCGAACAGACGAGGAGCUUGCUCCUCUGACGUUAGCGGCGGACGGGUGAGUAACACGUGGAUAACCUACCUAUAAGACUGGGAUAACUUCGGGAAACCGGCGCUAAUACCGGAUGAUAUAUUGAACCACAUGGUUCAAUAGUGAGAGACGGUUUUUCUGUCACUUAUAGCUGGAUCCGCGCCGCAUUAGCUAGUUGGUAAGGUAACGGCUUACCAAGGCAACGAUGCGUAGCCGACCGGAGAGGGUGGUCGGCGACACUGGAAGUGAGACAGGGUCCAGACUCCUACGGGACGCAGCAGUAGGGAAUCGUCAGCAAUGGGGGAAAGCAUGACGGAGCAACGCCGCGUGAGUGAUGAAGGUCUUCGGAUCGUAAAACUCUGUUAUUAGGGAAGAACAAAUGUGUAAGUAACUAUGCACGUCUUGACGGUACCGAAUCAGAAAGCCACGGCUAACUACGUG
This 497-nucleotide ribosomal RNA is filed under the name uncultured bacterium. RNAcentral's name for it is "partial 16S ribosomal RNA". It matches the Rfam family "Bacterial small subunit ribosomal RNA", at positions 28 to 507 of the family's 1533-position model. The record is from RNAcentral.